Molecule: long non-coding RNA, 109 nt
Organism: Myotis brandtii (Brandt's bat)
Lineage: Eukaryota; Metazoa; Chordata; Mammalia; Chiroptera; Vespertilionidae
Exons: 3
Source: RefSeq, a predicted model, not a curated record
UAUAUAUAUAUAUAUAUAUAUAUAUAAAAGACAGCCCUAAAGGAAUAUAUGAACAGGCAAUUUACAAAAGAGGGAAUCCAAAAAGCUAACAAGCAUAUGAAGAGAUGCU